Molecule: long non-coding RNA, 202 nt
Organism: Xenia sp. Carnegie-2017
Lineage: Eukaryota; Metazoa; Cnidaria; Anthozoa; Malacalcyonacea; Xeniidae
Exons: 4
Source: RefSeq, a predicted model, not a curated record
AGAUGCGAAAGUUCCCGAUCCUCCUAACGGGCAAAGAUGGAAAGCAGUUCAGCAUGAUAAAAAGGUUACGUGGUUAGCAUGUUGGAUCGAGAAUAUCCAGGGAAGUUACAAGUACGUUAUGUUAAAUCCAACAUCAAGGAUCAAGGGAGAAAAAGAUUGGCAGAAGUAUGAAACCGCGCGUAAAUUAAAGGGUUUAAUUGGU